CGAUGAACCUCACUUCGGGAGGGGAUUAGUGGCGAACGGGUGAGUAACACGUGGGCAAUCUGCCCUGCACUCUGGGACAAGCCCUGGAAACGGGGUCUAAUACCGGAUACGAGUUUCACAGGCAUCUGUGAUUCUGGAAAGCUCCGGCGGUGCAGGAUGAGCCCGCGGCCUAUCAGCUUGUUGGUGAGGUAACGGCUCACCAAGGCGACGACGGGUAGCCGGCCUGAGAGGGCGACCGGCCACACUGGGACUGAGACACGGCCCAGACUCCUACGGGAGGCAGCAGUGGGGAAUAUUGCACAAUGGGCGCAAGCCUGAUGCAGCGACGCCGCGUGAGGGAUGACGGCCUUCGGGUUGUAAACCUCUUUCAGCAGGGAAGAAGCGAAAGUGACGGUACCUGCAGAAGAAGCGCCGGCUAACUACGUGCCAGCAGCCGCGGUAAUACGUAGGGCGCAAGCGUUGUCCGGAAUUAUUGGGCGUAAAGAGCUCGUAGGCGGCUUGUCGCGUCGGAUGUGAAAGCCCGGGGCUUAACCCCGGGUCUGCAUUCGAUACGGGCAGGCUAGAGUUCGGUAGGGGAGAUCGGAAUUCCUGGUGUAGCGGUGAAAUGCGCAGAUAUCAGGAGGAACACCGGUGGCGAAGGCGGAUCUCUGGGCCGAUACUGACGCUGAGGAGCGAAAGCGUGGGGAGCGAACAGGAUUAGAUACCCUGGUAGUCCACGCCGUAAACGGUGGGCACUAGGUGUGGGCAACAUUCCACGUUGUCCGUGCCGCAGCUAACGCAUUAAGUGCCCCGCCUGGGGAGUACGGCC
RNAcentral lists this ribosomal RNA (808 nucleotides) under Streptomyces sp. Its description in RNAcentral is "bacterial SSU rRNA". It matches the Rfam family "Bacterial small subunit ribosomal RNA", at positions 67 to 887 of the family's 1533-position model. Lineage: Bacteria; Bacillati; Actinomycetota; Actinomycetes; Kitasatosporales; Streptomycetaceae. The record is from RNAcentral.